GCACAGGGAGGAUGGAGAAGCUGGAAAUGUUCCCCCCAACCCAGCUCCAUCCCAGGAUGGUUACUCUCCUCCCCCAGCCCCAUCAUCACAGCAGUGAGAGCACAUCCCACUAGUUACAGCUGUGGAAGCUCGAUGGAGCUUAGCACCUCUGAACAUCUUCUUGCAGGUGUUGGAAACUUCAGCAACGAGAAACCAAAGUGACGUGCAGAGGCUCUGAUUAACUGAAUGGCUCAGCUUCCUCCAGGUUGCUCCCAGGAGGCAGGCCCAUGUUGGCAGAGCCUCCCCAGCAUCCUCCGACAGAAGGUAACCUCCUGCCUGUCCCCUCAGCAGCAUCUCUGAGGGCACAAGGAGCCCUUGCUGCCAGCCUGGCUCUGUGGUUAGCUCACAUAGCAAGGUCAGGCAGCAGGGACAUAAUGUGAGAGUGCAUAUGCUUUAUACAUAUACCUGUAUAAACCACCUAUGAUGGGUUUUGCCCCAUGCUCAGUGCACAGUCCAAACUGGAAGACUCAAACACCUGUUACAGGAGAUGGAGACUUAAAUGAACAGUAAGAAGACCACUUGAUAAAAAUCACACAGCCUGGUGGGUACACCAAAAACAGGUGGAAGAUAAUCCUUUGUGGAAAAUGAUCCUUCUCCCACAAACAUCUGAGCAAACAAUGGUAGUGUGAGAAGGACUGUCUCAUACAAUGGAGCUUCAAGUUUGCUCACAAAAACAUCUGUCUGUUGAAAGCACUCAGAACUCACACUCUCAAUCACAUUAGAGUUUCUUCCUCCUACACGUGUCUUAAAUCUAGUGAUGCAACCAUCGGUGCCAAACUGCAAAAGAAAACUCUCUGGAAGACCUCUCUAUGAGGAAAACACAACUUUUGUUUUUAAGCAACUAGAGUUAAAAAAUACACCUACAGAAAAAUAAAACUACCAAAAAAAAAUA
Anas platyrhynchos (mallard) is the source of this 931-nucleotide long non-coding RNA. RefSeq lists it as uncharacterized. Lineage: Eukaryota; Metazoa; Chordata; Aves; Anseriformes; Anatidae. The record is from RefSeq and is a predicted model, not a curated record.